GAUUCAAACGUCAUAUUCUCAAAGAAAACGAAUAUAGCCCGGAAGCUAAACAGAGAUAUAACAAGUAAUUAUAUCUGUCUUCGUAGUUUAUAUUUCACGUAAAAAAGUAAAUUUAUUAAAACUAGGGUUUUAAAUUUUUUUUUUCAGAAUCUGGAAUGCUUAUUACACUUUAAAAACAUUUUAUUAUGGUUUUCUGAUAUAUUUGAUAAUUUUAAUAUUAAAAUAUAUCUUUUAUUAAUUUAAUUUUACGUUUAAAAAAGAGUUAUUAAACAAUGAAGGUUUUUUUUAUGAAAAUAAAAAUUGUUUUCACAAGAAAUUUCGAUUAGUUUUAUUACCGCAUAGCAGAAUAUAUUGUUAUUAUUAUUAUAAUAUUAUAAAAAAAAAAAAUUAUUUUUCUUUUGUACAUUAUAUGCUAUUAUAAAUGAUAAGAAUUGACGCUUAUAAAUGAUAAUAAAUGGUAAAUAAUUAAAUAGGCAUAAUAUAUUUUCUUUGAUAACAUUUGUUUAAUAUUGUACCGACUUUCUCGUUUUUCUUGCCUUAUUCCCGGUUUUUUUCAUGGCUUUUCACAUUGUCUGGGAAAAAUCUUGGGACAAUCGAAAAGUGAUCUCGUUUAUGUACCUCUCUAGUAAGAUUUUCUUUCAGAAAUUGUACUAUCAUUGUAAAUUCGAGAAAAAUAUCUGGUAGAAAAGUUUCCUACAGGAAAAAAGUGAUAUUUUACUAAUGUUUUUCUCAAUUUUUCACGAUUUGUCCCUUUUAAUAAGAAAAUUUCUUAAUCUAAUUAAAGAAAAUUUAAAAAUAACCUCCCCAAAUUACCAUGGUGAUAAUAUUACCUUUCAAAAUUUAAGCAACACUUGAUAAGUCGGAGGAGGGUGUUUUGGUAGAAAAGUUUCCACAACAAAUCUAGAGGUAUUUUGCGAUUAAAUUAGUCCGACCAAGCGAUGGUUUGGGUCUCUAGAUAUACACAAAAUGCUUUUGUUUUAUACUUGAUUAGGUAAAAGGAGAAGAAAAUACGAAACAUAUUUUGGAACCUAUUCGUGACCUUUUCGAGACUUUUUCGAGACCUGUCUCCAAAACAAUAAGUCUAUCGUGGCCACAAUUCGAACACGAUUCGAAUUUCUUUUACGUGCAAUUGUUCCCAACCGCCGAUCGAGUUUUAAAUGGAUUAUGGAUGUUCGGAAACAUGGUAAUGAGGCCCCAUCGAUUCCUAGACGUAUUCCCCAUAUAAAGACACUAAAUAAUGCGUUUUUUUUUUGUCAAAAUUGGAAUAAUUGGAUCUUAUUUUUUUGAAAACGAAAUAGGCCAUAGAGUUACGGUGAAUUGUGAACGUAACGUUGCUAUGCUCUAAGAUUUUUCCCCCUGCUUGGAGGAAAAUGAAAUAGACACUGAAAAUAUUUGGUUUCAACAGGACGGCGCCACUGCUUGUUUCAUUUUUAAAUUUUAAAAUCGAUCGGUGGUUGGGAACAAACGCGAAGAAAGUCCGGAUCGCGUACGGAUUACGCGUUGUGUAGCCACGAUUGACUCAUUGUUUCGAAAAUAUGUCUCUACGGCGAACUAAAGAUUUUUGUUACGCCAUUGUGAUAUUUUGACUUAACUUUCUGUUACGUACUAUACAAUGCGAAGUUCGGAAAUAUUGUUUGACGCCCCUCUUCUAAAGCUUAUCUCAAAGGGGCUGUUUUUGCUCCGGCACUCUGUAUAACUAUUCAGCCACGACAAAUAUACAUUAUGUAAGACAAUAUUUAAUUAUACUAUUAUGACAUAUGUUUUUAUGCAGUUAAAGUUUUUGUUUUAAUGCAUGUAUUUUUUUUCAAAAAAAACUGAAAUUCCAUACAAAAAUGAUAGUGUACAAAAAUUAUUUUGUCACUCCCUAGCGUUAUGUAUCACUCGCUGAAAUAUUAAUUUUUUUAAAAACCCAAUAUAAUUCAAUAACUAAAACUAGAAGAGUGUGCCUGUUUGAAGAGAUUUUCAUUUUAGGGAGGUUAUAAUAGUAAAUAAAUUUAAGAAUUCGACUUCUAUUUCCGGUGACAUUCGAUGUCUAAAUGUCACGAAAUUCGCAGAAGUUCAUAUUUCGAGUCUCUAUGAAUUUUUUUAAUAUAAUAUUACAACAAAUAAAAAAAUUGAGAAAAAAAUAAUAGCAUUAUUUUCAUAAAUUUCCCAUUUUUUUGCGGUUUGUCCUCGUUUUUUUCCAGAUAUUAUAAAAACCGCAUGGAUAUUAAAAAAUAACCUUCAAAAAGUACCAUCAGGACAAUAUUCCCCUUCAGAUAUGAUGGCGAGCGUAUAAAUCAGAGCAAGAUUUCUGGUAGAAUAAUCGUACAAAUUAUAUAAAAAAAAAAAAUAAAUUAGAUAACACAUUAUUAAAAUCAAUAAAUUCAUCGCUACACUCAGAAUCUAAAUUAAGCU
Non-coding RNA from Cinara cedri, 2397 nucleotides. The record is from the annotation of a GenBank genome assembly. NCBI's taxonomy places the organism in Eukaryota, Metazoa, Arthropoda, Insecta, Hemiptera, Aphididae.